GAAGUUUGUGAUCCUUCUCUCAUUUACUUGACAGUAAGUCUAAUUGAACUCUUGCAAUGGGAAGAUCUGGAGCCGGGAGCUCGCCCCGAAGCCGCCCUGCGAGGAAGGUGAGGGCCGCCGGCUCGGGGAGCCCCCUUUCCCCCUCCACUCCCACCCCGCGGGAGCCUUUUUUCCUCCUGGACACGCGUCAGGCAGGGCACGUGUGAAGGCGCUCCGCCUGCCCCUGGAAGGGCUGCGCUCUUCGCCCGGGGCUGAGCGACUGCAUCUUCUCCCCUCCCCGCAGGCACCUUCCGCGAAGCCCCCUGGCAGAACUGCGUCCCGUGCGAUCUGUGCGAUGGUAAGAGGGCGAGGGGGCGCCGGGGCCGCUUUCGUGCCGGCUGCGCGGGGAGAUGGGGCGCACGGGCGCCCCGGGAUUGCCCAGCCCUUGAGCCUCCCCACCGGCCUCCUGGGGGCGAGCUCUCCGGCUUGGACGGAGGUCCCCUGGGGGGGCAAUCUAAAGUCUGGAGGGGGGGGAGCCUGCCGCUUCCUCCUCCUCUCCCUCCUCUCCCUCCUCAGGCGACCACCGGGAGUACGAGCGGCGGUGCAACGGGACGGUCAACGCGCUCUGCCGGUGCCGUCCGGGCUUCCUCUGUGGCGGGAAUGCGUGCGAGCGGUGCCUCUGCUCCGCGGGACAGGAGCCCACGGCGGAAGGUGCGCGGAGGACGGGGGGGAGGGCUUCCCUUGGGCUGCCCUGCCCGUGAGUACGGGGGCGGAGGGGGAAUGAAUCUGGGGGAUCCGGGAGACCCUCAAGCACCCCCCCUCCCGGUGGGCAGGACAGGCGGCUGGCGAUGUCGAUGCCCGGCGCCCUCCAAGUGAUGCCCGCCUACCUCCCGGUGGGCAGGACAGGGGGCUGGCGAUGCGGUGCCCGGCGCCCUCCAAGUGAUGCCCGCCUGUCCCUUUUGACCCCACAGGAUGCCGGAGUUGCCCUAAGGGGACCUUUAGCAACCAGAGUCACGCUCCGUGCCGCCCCUGGACACGGUAAGCGUGGUUUCCCCCACCCUUUCUCACGAUCAGAGGUUUUUGGUCUGGCCCACGGGACGAUCCCUGCUGUUGUUGAACGCACCUUCCCCGGCAGAUGCCCGGAGGGCCACAUCCUGACUCCAGGGACAGAGAAGACGGACGUGGUUUGCCGGCCGGGUCUGGAGGAACCUGGGACCACCGCGCCACCGGGGGUCCUCUCCACGCAGAUGCGUUCCGAGGAGACGGACAGCCGGCUCCUGGCGGUCAUUCUGGCCCUGCUGGGCGUCUUACUGCUCUGCUUGGUGUUCCUGCUGCUGUCCUGCGUUUUCUUCCGAUCUUGGGCCCGAGAGAAGUUCCGGAAAGGUGAGCCCCCCCCUUCAGACUCCCUCUUGCAGCUCCCGACUACCCCUCAAAAGAAGGGUGGGGCACCCCUAUCCUACGAGCCACUGGAGCGCAGAAUGGGGCCCCUCCCCGGCCCCUAAGCCGACUCUCCCCCACUUCAGCCUUUAAGAAGACAAGCUGUUUGCCGCUGGUGGCGGCUGUGAUGCUGACCUAAGAGGGAGACCACCUGUGUCCAGGGUCCUGAUGUUCCAGGCGGGUGGAGGAAGAGACUGAGAGGGGAAGGGUGUCCCCCGGCAGGAUGGGCGCCUCCUCUGGAGGCCUGGAGCUCAAACCUAAAAGUCCUGGAAGAAGCAUCUCCGUUGGCUUUCCUUCUUGUCCACAAGAGGAGGAGAAGAUGCCCCACGCAGGAGGGAGAUGCCCGGGUGGGUACGAGAGUUGCCUUUCCUUCUUGUCCACAAGAGGAGGAAGAGAAGAUGCCCCAUGCAGGAGGGAGAUGCCCGGGUGGGUACGAGGCAGGAUAGUCAUCACCCAACUUCCCUGGAUUGAAAUUGGCCUUUAACCACCCUCUGGAUCAGGACCGGGCAUGGCAGGCCCAUCGGGAGGGCAUGACAAGAGCUUGACAGCUCUUCUUGCAGAAGCCCCACGCAGCUUUUUGCUCAUCCCAACACCGCCUCCUUGGGUCUGCCCGAGAUCUGCUAGGAAUCUAGUUCUCUGUGUUUUGGACUUUUCCGAGUCUUGAUGACCCCAGAUGUGAUCCAGGCCAUGGGGCUUCUAAACAGCCCUUCUGUUACCCCCACACACACACACACCUUUGUUCUGGGGGGGAAUCAAGGAAAGCUCGUCUGGAUGGACAGGUGAGCAGGACAGGUGUCUUGAGGAUGAUCUUCCCAAGUCCUCCUGACUCUCUGGAGCUCCUGCCCCAUUGGAGGGAAGCCAUGGGGCUCAAGACCCUUCUGUGUCGUGCUUUUGGGGCUUCCUCUUGGGGCGGAGGGGUGUUCCUGGGCAGACGAGAGAGCCUGGCCAUCAGAGCCCCAGACCUCUGCCUGCUGGCGUCAGUGCUCUCACCUCUGGCCUUCCUUUCUCCCAUGUGCUCCCCCCCUCCGCAGGACCCCCGAAACAGCUGGCCCAGGAGGUGGAUGA
This 2481-nucleotide long non-coding RNA is filed under the name Pogona vitticeps (central bearded dragon). Its description in RNAcentral is "lncRNA (ENSPVIG00000017223.1)". The record is from RNAcentral. Lineage: Eukaryota; Metazoa; Chordata; Lepidosauria; Squamata; Agamidae.